This 73-nucleotide transfer RNA is filed under the name Enteroctopus dofleini (giant Pacific octopus). Its description in RNAcentral is "tRNA-Ser". It matches the Rfam family "tRNA". From Rfam's summary of the family: Transfer RNA (tRNA) molecules are approximately 80 nucleotides in length. RNAcentral also lists the same sequence under 1 other name. Lineage: Eukaryota; Metazoa; Mollusca; Cephalopoda; Octopoda; Octopodidae. The record is from RNAcentral.
AGAGUAUUAGGUUAUAUUGGAUAAAGAGAGGUUUUGAAAACCUUUUGUAAGUGUUCGAUUCACUUAUAAUCUU